RNAcentral lists this long non-coding RNA (255 nucleotides) under Elaeis guineensis (African oil palm). Its description in RNAcentral is "long non-coding RNA (EGUI_LNC081263)". Lineage: Eukaryota; Viridiplantae; Streptophyta; Magnoliopsida; Arecales; Arecaceae. The record is from RNAcentral.
AAUCAGAAAAUCUGAUUUUGAUAUAAUUUAAACUGAAACUAAUUCAUCUUAUAAAAAUAACAUGAAAUUUAAUUGAAUCAAUCAAGGAUGGCUCUGAUACCACUGUUGAAUUUUGAUGACGUAGUGGAUUAUAAAUUUUAAAAUUUUUAACAUGCAUUCAACAAUUAAAAACAAGGUUUGAAAAUUAAACAAGAGCACUGAAAUACAAAAUCUUAGGAACCCCUUGAUGAUUACAAUCAAACGAUCAAAAAUAUA